AAAUACCUAUCACAAUAGAAAUAUCACAUUAAUGACUAAAACACCAAGCAAAGAACAUAUUGUUUCUUGUAAAACAGAAAGGUAAUCGGCGCCAGAGCGCAUCAUGAUAAGGUCCCAAAACACUCAACAGUGCAUCACAAUCAAAAUCCACCUGAUGUUCAAUUUGUGGCUGAAACUGAAUUUGAGAUUGAAAAAAGAGAAAGCAAAGCCUCAAUAGUCUCUCAUAGUUGAGAGAGAGAGAGAGAGAGUGAGUGACUAGUACUGGGAACGGGGAAGGAUCUAGUUGGGUAAGAGAGAAUUUUGAAGUUGGAAUAGGAAGGAGGUAAGGUCAAGGAAUUGGGGUCCCAUUAGAAGGGGGCAAUUCCAAUCCCUCGUGCAGUUGAAAUAUCAUAAUCUCUCUCUCUCUCUUUCUCUCCGUGAGCCUGUGAGGUUUCUUCUUUGUCAUCUUCCCCAUGUCCUUCCCUAAAGUUUUUGUAGUCCAAGGAGGAGACAUCUUAGAAUUGAUAUGUGGGGUGUUGAAGACAGUCUGUACCAUCUAGUGCCAAAAAAUUCCUCUCGCUUGGACCCAUUUUUUGAGUGCUCUUUUUUCCCCAAUUGCAUUUAUUUCGUUUCAAGCUUUG
This 620-nucleotide long non-coding RNA is filed under the name Eucalyptus grandis. Its description in RNAcentral is "long non-coding RNA (EGRA_LNC005793)". Lineage: Eukaryota; Viridiplantae; Streptophyta; Magnoliopsida; Myrtales; Myrtaceae. The record is from RNAcentral.